CCUGGGCUAGAAUGUAUUUUGCCACCUUGAGAAAUUGAGGGUUCCUUCGGGACGGAAUACAAGGUGCUGCAUGGCUGUCGUCAGCUCGUGCCGUGAGGUGUUGGGUUAAGUCCUAUAACGAGCGAAACCCUUUUACUUAAUUGCCAGCACGUAAUGGUGGGGACUUUAAGUAGACUGCCCGUGUAAGCGGGAGGAAGGAGAGGAUGAGGUCAAGUCAUCAUGGCCUUUAUGCCCAGGGCUACACACGUACUACAAUGGCAUGUACAAAGGGAAGCUACUUGGUAAUAAGAUGCAAAUCUUAAAAGCAUGUCUCAGUUCGGAUUGAGGUCUGCAAUUCGACCUCAUGAAGUUGGAAUCGCUAGUAAUCGCGUAUCAGCAAUGACGCGGUGAAUACGUUCUCGGACCUUGUACACACCGCCCAUCAAGCCAUGGGAGUUGGUAGAGCUUGAAGACAGUGGCA
Molecule: ribosomal RNA, 460 nt
Filed under: Cardinium endosymbiont of Bemisia tabaci
Lineage: Bacteria; Pseudomonadati; Bacteroidota; Cytophagia; Cytophagales; Amoebophilaceae
Description: bacterial SSU rRNA
Rfam family: Bacterial small subunit ribosomal RNA
Source: RNAcentral